RNA transcript from Raphanus sativus (radish), 2927 nucleotides. RefSeq lists it as uncharacterized. The transcript is spliced from 11 exons. The record is from RefSeq and is a predicted model, not a curated record. Lineage: Eukaryota; Viridiplantae; Streptophyta; Magnoliopsida; Brassicales; Brassicaceae.
CCUUUUGGUACGACUUGGCUAUUCUCUCCGACGCCGAUGGAGAAUCUUCGUAUAAAAAAACUAGAUCGGCGGGAAAUCGAUUUUCAAAUUAGCAGGAUUCGUCUAAAUUCACGAGUCUAGAAGCUCUUGUUUCCUCAUCCCUGUUGAUUUUUCUCUCCCACUAGAAAUGGAUUCGGAUUCUGUGAAGGAGUUCAUACGAAGAGAAGUCCCGGAUUGGGACGACGAUGAAGUGGUGGCGACGGCCAGAUUCAAGGCGUUUAGUGGACAGAGAUCCGAUUGGGAAGUCAAAUAUCAGUUCUGGCGCGAUUUGAUCAUCAAGGUCUCGCGUCGUUUCGGAGUGUUCAUCAUUGAUCCUCUCCAGGUGAAGAAGACUUGGUUUGAUCGAGGAGGGAUGACGCCUCUAUGCAUUGAUCAUGUACUGUUAUUGAUGCAUAGUGAAGGUGAUGUUGUGCCGAUAAGCCAACUCGAAAGUCCGGUUAGUGGGCGUUUAUCUCGUUUGUUGAGGACAUUGAGAAGUUUAGUGGCUCAACCUUCAGUGAAGCCGGGAGAGAUUCUCGAAAGCAAACUUGUUAUUGUUCCCCUCUUGAAAGAGAAGGCUGCUGAUGUGGUGAGACUUUUAUCUGAGGGACACUGGACUUCUACUUGUGUUGUCACGCUGGACAAGUUCCAGGACCUGUGCGACGGCGGCUCGAAUGAGGCAUCUGCUGUUUUGAGUCACUUGUCAGGGUGUGGAAAAGCGCAUAAAAUCUUUAUUAAUCGGGGAGAAUUGAUUGAGGGUGUCAAAGUGUCCUUUUCAGAAGCAGCACUUCCCAGUAUUUCAACUUUAGACUGUGACAUUCUGCACUUGUUAAGAACUACAGAGAAGCUCCAAAAUCAACUUGAAGUCAUGGACCAGCGCUGUGAAAUGUCAAGGAAAUCUGCGUUGGCAUCUCUAAAGUCUGGACACAAGAAAGUUGCUCUAAGGCAUGCAAGGGAACUGAAGCUGACCACUGAGAGCAGAGAAAAAUGCACGUCACUUCUGAACAGAGUAGAGGAAGUGUUGAACACUAUAGCGGAUUCCGAAUCAACGAAAAUGGUCUCAGAAGCAAUCAAAACUGGAGCAAGGGUCAUGAAGGACAUCAAGAUCAGUCCAGAUGAAGUUCAUGACUAUUUGGAAGAAAUUGAAGAAACCAUUCAAUCGCAGAAGGAAGUGGAAAAAGCUCUCGAAUCAGCUCCAUAUCCAGAUAUCGAUGAUGAAAAUAUUGAAGAAGAAUUCUUGAAACUAGAAAUGGAGCUUGAAAGUGAAAGUUCCCAGGCCAGACCAACGACUUCAGAUACAGCAGAUUCACUGGCUGAUAUGUUUUCGGAGCUUAAACUUGGCAACACAAAACAAAUAUUAGAGGAGCAAGCUACUGAACCAGUUCGAAUGAAAGAUGGCGGAAAACAGAUUCUUGAAGCAGCAUAGUUUCACAAUGCAUCUUCAUUUUGGAAAGCUGGCACUAAAUAGGAGAAACUUGAGCAGAUCCUUUAAUGGUAAGUUGUUCUUAUCUUGUAGUGCUUUUUUGGAUCUGUAUGGUUCACCUUGAUAUGGCCCAGUGUUCUCAGUGAGAACUUCUCACUACUUACUUGGAGAAUAACAAGUCGGCGAAUCAGCAGGCAAAGCAGCAGACGGCGGCGGAACAGAUUGGGGCAAAUAGUUUUCCGUUGGUGUGAAAAGUGCUGAGUUUUGAAUUGGCAUUAGUCCAGGAUGGUUGAGAACCCUUAGCACAUCUGGCGAGUUACCAACCAAUGGCAAGCCAGCUCCUAGAACAGGCGCAGGGAGAAGCUGUGGUACGCCCAUUGGCAUACCUGUUGCUAGACCCAUCUGAGAGUAAUGCGGCCCCAAAGGCAACACCGUUGCUGGUGUAACAAAUCUGUUACCCAUCGCCAUCAUCUGUCAUCCAAGAUUUAUACAGGAACUUGUGGCCUCACAUCAUCUAGGCUCUGCGUUGAGACAAAAAAAUGUUUUCAGACAAGAACCUAACAGAUAAAACCCAAAUUCAACAAACUCUGUGGAUCAAUCAACCCUCUUACACUGCUUUGAUACGUCGAUUCUUCACUGUCUUCAGUAAAAUCUGUGGAUUCAUAGCCCAAUUCAACCGAUCUCUCAGCAACCGCAGAUUGCUCAUCCGGAGGUACAAUAUCAUUUCGGUUCUCAUAAUCAACCACCAUCCUCUUUGAUGAAGAAGCUUUCAACGUCUGAAUCAAAUUAAGUUGAUUCAUCAGAGCAUGUUUGUUUCAUAUGCAGCAACAACAAGAGGUUCUGGAAAAACCUGUGUGUCUACAAGAUUCUUGUUACUAGUAUCGACAUCAUGAAUAUGAACACUCUUCUUGAAAUCCUCGUUAUACUCGGCCUCGUACAAAUCCACGAUCGAUUUGGUACGUUGAUUCUGCAGAGAAAGGCCAUUGGAUCUUUGGCUCUUUGCAAGAAUCUGCCCAUUCUCAAACACAAGCUCCAUAUACUCUUGAUCAGUUAACCUGCAACAACAAAAAAAAAAAACGUAAGAACAAACAUCAUCUGCAUCAUCUUGUGUGUAUAUGCUAUGUGAAAUGAAGAACUUAAUUUGGUCUGAAGGUUGAUGAUGAUGAGGGAGAAGUCAUGUUUGUCUUGUUGAAUGAUCCCAAAAGGUUUUGUCUUCGUUUGGAAGAGUAACUAAAAGCUAUAUUUCUUUUGUUGAUCAACCUCAGUGCCUUUUAGCUCUUUAUAUAUAUUUUCACUUUUGUUUUUUUUUUUCAACUAUUAUUUAUUUAAUUUUGGUUCUCAGGUGCAUCCAACUAAUAAUAUCUUAAUAGGACAGUCCUGUUCAUUUGUACUAAGUCGAAUCUUAGCAUCUUCUAGUUUUUUCUAGAACUUUCAUCGCAAAUUUUGAUUUCUAUAAACAAAUCAUUAAUAAAAUACAAUUACAUAC